UGCAGUCGAGCGAACUGAUUAGAAGCUUGCUUCUAUGACGUUAGCGGCGGACGGGUGAGUAACACGUGGGCAACCUGCCUGUAAGACUGGGAUAACUUCGGGAAACCGAAGCUAAUACCGGAUAGGAUCUUCUCCUUCAUGGGAGAUGAUUGAAAGAUGGUUUCGGCUAUCACUUACAGAUGGGCCCGCGGUGCAUUAGCUAGUUGGUGAGGUAACGGCUCACCAAGGCAACGAUGCAUAGCCGACCUGAGAGGGUGAUCGGCCACACUGGGACUGAGACACGGCCCAGACUCCUACGGGAGGCAGCAGUAGGGAAUCUUCCGCAAUGGACGAAAGUCUGACGGAGCAACGCCGCGUGAGUGAUGAAGGCUUUCGGGUCGUAAAACUCUGUUGUUAGGGAAGAACAAGUACGAGAGUAACUGCUCGUACCUUGACGGUACCUAACCAGAAAGCCACGGCUAACUACGUGCCAGCAGCCGCGGUAAUACGUAGGUGGCAAGCGUUAUCCGGAAUUAUUGGGCGUAAAGCGCGCGCAGGCGGUUUCUUAAGUCUGAUGUGAAAGCCCACGGCUCAACCGUGGAGGGUCAUUGGAAACUGGGGAACUUGAGUGCAGAAGAGAAAA
Molecule: ribosomal RNA, 622 nt
Filed under: Priestia megaterium
Lineage: Bacteria; Bacillati; Bacillota; Bacilli; Caryophanales; Bacillaceae
Description: bacterial SSU rRNA
Rfam family: Bacterial small subunit ribosomal RNA
Source: RNAcentral